RNAcentral lists this long non-coding RNA (447 nucleotides) under Oryza sativa tropical japonica subgroup. RNAcentral's name for it is "lncRNA OsCMeo_10g0000740". Lineage: Eukaryota; Viridiplantae; Streptophyta; Magnoliopsida; Poales; Poaceae. The record is from RNAcentral. RNAcentral also lists the same sequence under 1 other name.
CUGGUACUUGGAGGAAUAGGCUGCCUAACUUUUAGAAGAUCUUUUGUGGAAGAUGAGUUUGAUGAAUGGACCACUUUAGGAGAUUCCACUAAGCAGUUAAAGAGAGAAGGCAAGGCUGGGAAGGGACUGAUAUUUGUCGCUUAUUUGGUGUAUUUGCAGGGAUACUUUCUGCUGGGGCAGAGUCCCAAUAUAUAUAAUAAUGAGAAAAGUAGAGUUUUUGCUGCUCCUUUAGCUGCUAUCGGUUGGGUGCUGUGGAUUACUAUAAAUAACACGAUUGUUAGAUCUAAAUUGAUCUAUUCUUCUCUAAUCCUUCCCUUCAAAAUCAUUUCCCAUUUGCAAUGUUGGAAAAUGCUAGGUGUUAAGGAUGCUGAUGCCAUUAACAAAAUGACCGAGGAGCUCACAAAGACAAUGGCAACCCUGGGUGCUCAGAGAGCUAGAAUUGAUUGA